This 21-nucleotide non-coding RNA is filed under the name Caenorhabditis elegans. The record is from RNAcentral. Lineage: Eukaryota; Metazoa; Nematoda; Chromadorea; Rhabditida; Rhabditidae.
UGAUUGAGGAAAACACACAAU